This is a long non-coding RNA of Serinus canaria (Common canary), 712 nucleotides long. RefSeq lists it as uncharacterized. NCBI's taxonomy places the organism in Eukaryota, Metazoa, Chordata, Aves, Passeriformes, Fringillidae. The transcript is spliced from 2 exons. The record is from RefSeq and is a predicted model, not a curated record.
GCGGAGCGGGGCGGAACAGCGUGUGCUCAGUACGCAGGGUUUGCUUAUCGGCUUUGUACGGCGUUAAAGAAGAGGUUUGAACCGACAGCCGGGCGGCCAGACGAGAGGGGUGUUCUGCCUGGCCGAGGGGGAGGAGGAGGAGGAGGGGGAGACUGGAGGAUGGGUGGGGGAGACGCGGGUACCUAAAUGUUUCCAUCCGAGCGAGUUAUAUAAAGUUAGCGUGGGUGUUACGUAACCGUCCCGGCGCUGCCGCGGUGUAGAAGUAGAAAACGAAGCAGAAAAUAAAUAAAAUCGUGAAACGUGCGGGUCACGCGAAAGCUAGGAGGGUGCAGGUCGGGGACGACGGGCCGCGGGUAAGGCGGGAUGAGCCUGGGGAAACUCCGCGUCCAGCGCCUUCCACGAGCGAGUCUCCCGGUAGCAAAUGUAAAGCCCUCCUGUGUGAGCCGGCCUGUUCACACAGUAGGCUGGCAGCAGUAUUUCUGCACGGCGCGGGACCCAGACACAAAGAUCUAUCUCUUGGCAAACGAAAGAAAAGAAACAAGCAGUGAAAAUUUGUAAAUCAACUUUAUUCAUCGACGACCAUGGUUUAGGCAUCGGCAAUAGUAACUUCAACUUCUACGCCUGGUUCGAUGCUGAUGGAAGUGAUCUGCUUCACGAUCUCCGAAGGGCUGUGCAGGUCAAUGAGCCGCUUAUGGAUACGCAUUUGGAAGCG